GACAAAAAUAAUCCUCCAUCUCACCAUCUCCAUCCGCCUGCCAAGGGUUCCUUGAAAGCCAGGCAGGCAGGAAGGCAGCCACCGACCCAAGUGAGCAGGAGCCAAAAGGGAAAAGGAGACCAGAGCUGACAGCAUUGCCUUACUUUCUGGAACCUUUGGAGUUACAAACCCCCCAUCAUCAUAAUCGUCAUCCUCAUGCAGUGAGAUGGGUAAAUCUAAAUGGAAGAAAAGUUGGCACUAGCUCAGAAGACAGAGCAGAAUCACCUAUACGAAUGGACUUGUUACAAGCUUCUUUGUAAUUCAAACCAAUUUAUAUAAAAUCCAGUGUGAUUCUACUGCA
Molecule: long non-coding RNA, 340 nt
Organism: Anolis carolinensis (green anole)
Lineage: Eukaryota; Metazoa; Chordata; Lepidosauria; Squamata; Anolidae
Exons: 2
Source: RefSeq, a predicted model, not a curated record